CAGCCGCCGCGGUAAUACAGAGGGUGCGAGCGUUAAUCGGAUUUACUGGGCGUAAAUCGUGCGUAGGCGGCUUUUUAAGUCGGAUGUGAAAUCCCUGAGCUUAACUUAGGAAUUGCAUUCGAUACUGGGAAGCUAGAGUAUGGGAGAGGAUGGUAGAAUUCCAGGUGUAGCGGUGAAAUGCGUAGAGAUCUGGAGGAAUACCGAUGGCGAAGGCAGCCAUCUGGCCUAAUACUGACGCUGAGGUACGAAAGCAUGGGGAGCAAACAGGAUUAGAUACCCCGGUAGUCCCUGUCUCUUAUAC
RNAcentral lists this ribosomal RNA (301 nucleotides) under uncultured bacterium. RNAcentral describes it as "partial 16S ribosomal RNA". It matches the Rfam family "Bacterial small subunit ribosomal RNA", at positions 509 to 807 of the family's 1533-position model. The record is from RNAcentral.